This 1870-nucleotide unclassified non-coding RNA is filed under the name Daphnia magna. RNAcentral describes it as "ceramide synthase 6, transcript variant X1". Lineage: Eukaryota; Metazoa; Arthropoda; Branchiopoda; Diplostraca; Daphniidae. The record is from RNAcentral.
GCGCACAUAGCUUUGCCGGCCCUUAGGAAAUUUGUUUGGCAACGGUGCACACUAUGGGAAAAUAAAUUAAAGAAAAAAGACAAAAAAAAAAAAAAGAAUAAAAGAGAAGUCAGAUUUGGGCGGAAGGAAACUGAAGUUUGUUAUCGGAUGUGUUUACAUGGGAUUGUUUAAAUAUCCUUGUAAAAAUGGUAGUCAAUUUUUUAAACCAGCUGUCUGAAUCCUUCUGGUCAUCAGAUGUGUGGUUACCUCCUGGAGUCACCUGGAAGGAUUUAGAACCUAACGACCAAAACCCAAUAGCAUAUCCCCGUUUUAGCGAUAUUUGGUACCCUGUUUUAUUUUCGUUCGCCCUAACGUUCCUCAGGCUCUUAUUCGAAAAGUAUGUUUUCUUCCCGUUAGGCAUAGCCAAUGGCUUGAGACCUGUCAGACCAUGGAAGGGACAGGCUCCUGACAAUCCCGUACUUGAGAAGGCUUUCCUUGUUGCCCGAAAAGGCAGAUUGAACUACAAACAGAUUCAAGGACUUGCAAAACAGUUGGAUUGGACUGAAAGGCAAGUGGAGAGAUGGAUUCGCAUGAGACGAAUGAUGGACCGGCCUUCUACACUUGUCAAAUUCAUGGAAUGUGGCUGGAGAUUCAGCUACUAUGGAUUUGCCUUUGGCUACGGAGUGUGGACUCUCUGGGAUAAAGACUGGUUUUGGGAUAUCAAUCAUUGCUGGUACACCUUUCCACAUCAGGGGGUGACAAAUGACAUUUGGUGGUAUUAUAUGAUGGAACUAAGUUUUUAUUGGUCUCUACUCUUUUCCAUGUUUGAAGACAUUAAGAGAAAAGAUUUUUUGGAGAUGUUGAUUCACCACUUUGUCACUAUUAUUCUCUUGGUUCUGUCGUGGACGUGCAACCUCAUUCGUGCCGGGACGCUAGUCCUUGUGAUACACGAUUGCGCCGAUAUUUUCUUGGAAAUGGCCAAAAUGAUGAAGUACAUCAAAUGGCAACGUACCUGCGAUGUAUUGUUUGCCAUCUUUACGGUUACCUGGAUAGGUACGCGGCUGGUGAUUUAUCCAUAUUGGUUCCUUUACAGCACUUGUAUCGGUGCCAAAGAGAUAGUUCCCAUGUUUCCAGCCUACUACAUUUUCAAUUCGUUGCUACUUUUACUCCUCGUUUUGCACAUCAUCUGGACGUAUUUCAUACUUAAAGUAUUAUAUCGAGCCAUUCUUUCAGGGCAGAUGGAAAAAGAUUCGCGCAGCUCAUCUAGCGAAGAUUUCAGUGAAGACAACAGCAAAUCUGGCAAUUCUUCAGCCACCCCUACAACUCCAUCCAAACGAUUGCCAGCAAAGUCAGGCAGUCACAGUCGAGAACACAAAAAUUCCAAAUAGUCGUAAUGAUCGUGGUCCAAUAAAGUUCAGAGUGUUUGCUGCUGAGUCUGAGCCUUUUUCUCUCGUAAUCACAUUGCUUGAGAAGCAUCAAAUACGGUCUAUUGUUUUCACGAAAAUGGAUGGACAUCAUUUCGUGUCCCAAGAACGGAAUAACUGCACUAUCAUAAUUUCUUCGAGUGUGUGUGUGUGUGUGUGAGCAUCAAUCUCUCGUCGAUGUUUGGUAUUCAGCGUCUUGUCCUGCUGGUCUUUGUUGAGGUAUUUCAAUUCCCACUACUGACCUUUUCCUCUAUUUCUUUUUGUUUUUUAAAUAGCCUAUUUUUCCCUCCCCCCCCCCCCUACAGUUGUCUUCCCCAAAGUUAUCUGAUUAAUCGUAUGAUGUGCAUCAGCAGCAGUGCCUUUAUUUACGCAAAGCAAAAAGAAAUCGCUUCAUCUGCCGAUCUAAUUCUUCCGCCAAGUUGUUUUCUGUUUGUUUAUGAAUUGCUGUAAUAAAACAGUUUCGAUGA